AUUGAACGCUGGCGGCAUGCCUUACACAUGCAAGUCGAACGGUAACAGGGAGCUUGCUCCGCUGACGAGUGGCGAACGGGUGAGUAAUGUAUCGGAACGUACCAUUCAGUGGGGGAUAACGUAGCGAAAGUUACGCUAAUACCGCAUAUUCUGUGAGCAGGAAAGCAGGGGAUCGCAAGACCUUGCGCUGAUUGAGCGGCCGAUAUCAGAUUAGCUAGUUGGUGAGGUAAAGGCUCACCAAGGCGACGAUCUGUAGCGGGUCUGAGAGGAUGAUCCGCCACACUGGAACUGAGACACGGCCCAGACUCCUACGGGGGGCAGCAGUAGGGAAUUUUCGGCAAUGGGCGAAAGCCUGACCGAGCGACGCCGCGUGAGGGACGAAGGCCUUCGGGUUGUAAACCUCUGUCUGGGGGAUGAGAACGGACGGUACCCCGGAGGAACGCCCCGGCUAACUACGUGCCAGCAGCCGCGUAAGGAGUAGUACA
Molecule: ribosomal RNA, 485 nt
Filed under: uncultured bacterium
Lineage: Bacteria
Description: bacterial SSU rRNA
Rfam family: Bacterial small subunit ribosomal RNA
Source: RNAcentral